GACAGAGGGUGCAAACGUUGUUCGGAAUUACUGGGCGUAAAGCGCGUGUAGGUGGCGAGGCAAGUCGGGUGUGAAAGCCCUGGGCUCAACCCAGGAGGUGCACUCGAUACUGCCUAGCUAGAGUCCCGGAGAGGUUGGUGGAACUCUCGGUGUAGAGGUGAAAUUCGUAGAUAUCGAGAAGAACACCGGUGGCGAAGGCGGCCAACUGGACGGUGACUGACACUGAGACGCGAAAGCGUGGGGAGCAAACAGG
Molecule: ribosomal RNA, 253 nt
Filed under: uncultured bacterium
Lineage: Bacteria
Description: partial 16S ribosomal RNA
Rfam family: Bacterial small subunit ribosomal RNA
Source: RNAcentral